AACCCAAAAGGGACUCAAAGCCAAUUGUUUUACCAGCAAAAUGAGUUUCUCCAGGAAUAGCAGAGGAAUUGAAAUUUGGGACAAGCAAACUAUGGCAAACCAUUGGAGAUAAAAUUCCUAUAAAGAUGUCUUACAUUGUCAAGAUAAGAAUUCUGUUCCUUCUGCUGGUUAUGCGGGCUGCAAGGAGUGAUUUAAAGAAACUUUCUCUUAGGCUAAUUUACACCUUUGCAAGCAGAAUUCAAACACUUCUCCCUACCUAAUCCGUUCAGAAUUUGGAAACUCGCAUUCUUGUGUCAUGUAUGCCAACAUGACUAUUUGGUGAUGUCCCCAUGCAGUGAUCCUUUCAGUUGGUAUAUCUCAGAUUGCUGGAAGUUCUUUUGGAAGUUCUGGCAGUGGCAAUCAAACAAGAAAAAGAAAAGCCAUAGGAAUUAAAAGAAGGAAGGAAGGAAGCCAGCAAGCCCUGGA
Molecule: long non-coding RNA, 465 nt
Organism: Lontra canadensis (Northern American river otter)
Lineage: Eukaryota; Metazoa; Chordata; Mammalia; Carnivora; Mustelidae
Exons: 6
Source: RefSeq, a predicted model, not a curated record